CGGGCACCGAAACCGCCGUAACGGCCCGUGUCCCGGGGUUAAGAGCCGGAGGAGGCCUGCAGGGAGGGUGCUCCAGUCCGGGCCCGCAGGCUCCCGCAACCCUGCCUUAGUUUCCCAACCGGGAGGGGUGGAAACCACCCAAAAGACUUGAGGGAGACAAAGAUAAUACAGAUCUUCCUCCAUUUAUGGUGGGUUUACGUCCUGAUAAACCCAUCUUGAUUAACCCAUUUUGCACACCUAACCUGCCCAACAUCACAGCUUAGCCCAGCCUACCUUAAACCUGCUCAGAACACGUAUCUUGACCUACAAUUGGGCAGAAUCAUCAAACACGGAGCCUAUUUUAUGACAAAGUGUUGAAUAUCUCAUGUAAUUUGUAUCGAAUGCUAUACUGAAAGUGAAAACCAGAAUGGUUGUGUAGGUACAGCACGAUUGUGAGUGCAUUGGUUGCUUAUCCUUGUGAUCUCGGGGCUGUCUGGGAGCCAGGACUUCCUGCGUCUGCUCAGCAUCCCUGUAGUGUCACGCGGCAUAUCGCUAGCCCAGAAAAAAAUAAAAAUUCCAGGUCCAUGCGGGAAUGGGGCUGCCUGAUCAGUAUAGACCAUCUGAUGCCUCUUGCCUGAAAAUAUGUUUCUCAGUCAGAAUAAACCCAGUUGUACUGCAUGCUGAUCUACAUGUGAUUUCUUGUGGGAGAGACUGGCUCUCUGCUCACCAGAUCCAUGGCCUCUUUUUCUCUGGACACACAGGCGAAGAGACUGACGUACAGAAGGAUUGAAUAAUUGCCCCCGGCUACACACUCAAGCCAGCCUUGGAACCCAAACAGUUUGGUUCCAGUGUCCAGGCAGUAAUGACUCAUUCAUGUCACCUUUCAGCUGGUAUAUGGCCAGGUACGGAGCGGGGUACCUUCUGUAUAGUGGAUCAUUGGAUAAACCCACUUCUUUCAGGUUUAGGGAAUUGGAAACAACGGGUUUCAAAUAUUGACCCUACUGAUCUCCUAACUUCCCUGGGCCUUAGUGAUUUCAAUUAUAAAAUACAGCUAGCAGGACAGAUGUUGCUGGGUAUCGUGGUAUUAAUGAGUCAAUGACUCUAAAGGGUCGUAUAAAUGUCUAACGUUAUCCCAUUUAUCUGAAAAAUCAGCUUACUUUCAUUUGUUCUCCAUCUCAGUGGAAGAGUCACUGGAGGACAAACGGCCACUGAGAUUGCUCUGCUACUUGUAUUAGAGAUAAUUUAAUUUCCUACAUGUUAAAGGCUGUUAAUCCUUGAUUUUCACUUUUCCCAGCAGAUACAAUGGCUCCCUUUUGGCUUUCUAAACACUCUGUGAAUCCCCAUAAUCCACUUUGCAAUGAUUACUCUAAAAUGUUCCGCUUAACUCUUUCUCAUUUUUUUGAGAGAAAAUUAUUUUGCGCUUACCACUGGUAUCUCGGCAAGGUUUUUGUUAACGAACCGAUCAUUUUGUCCUUCUACCACUAAGAGGCGCUGUUUCAUUGAUUUUUGUGGGGAGGAGAAGGGAGGGUGUUCUAGCUGAAGUACCUUCUAUGCUGGUAUCUGAGCUGUUGAAACUCGGCCUUUCACAUACUGUCAUUAAAAUGCAACAACCAAACCAGCAAAUAACCUUAGUAUUAAACAAUACCUUUAUCCAAGGAGCUCAAAGAUCCAGAUGCUCCAGAAUUAAUUAGAAACUAAGCUUCAUUGAUUAAUACAGAAAAGAAGAAGAAAAUCCUUUAAGUCUUGAAGCAGACUAGAAAAAAAAUUCAGUUACGUGGGUAGCCAUUUAUAACUCAGAUAGAGGAACAUUACUAUUUGUCAUUUUAAUUUUUUGGCAUUAGUGUUAUUUGAUGAAAUUAAGUUUUCAUCCACAGUGUAGGAUUAUUAUUACCAGUUGAAAACCACUCAUAAUAUAUAGAUAUUUUAUUGGAUAAACAUAUUACAAGGAGUUUUCCUGUUUAUUUUACUGUUUUGUUACUGCAUAUGUUUGAAUUUGGGGAAGUGGAUUCCAUUUUAUGUCUUAUAAUGAUAGGCUCUGAUUUCUGAAAACUUAGAAAGUUUGUGAAAAAAUGGAAAAGAGAAUAAGGAGUACUUAGUAAUAAUCCUAACCUAUGGGACAUCUUCCAGGUUUUGGAUGAAUAUAAACAAAGUAUUAGAUUUUAUUUAAACUUUAACUUUCACUAUUUAAUAAUCAAAAGGCAUUAUUAAACUACACAAUUUUAAAAUCUGGUUCUAAAGGAAGAAGAAUGAGGGCCAAAAGUGAGAAUUACCUUUAGACUUAACUUUCUUUACAUUUUAGGCCAGAGCAAGUAGGCUAUAUCUGUUUGUGUCAGAUUCUAUUGCUGAAUAACAAGUUACCACAAAGUCAGCAGCUUCAAACAUUUAUUAUCUCAUAAUUUCUAUGGUCAGAAGCCUGGGUGUGGCCAGAUUAGGUCCCUGGCUCAGGGUCUUACAAGACUAGAAUCAAAGUGUCAACUGGGCUGAUUCCUUUCUGAAGCUUGCGGUCUUCUUUCAAGUUCACAGAGCUGUUGGCAGAAUCUAGUUCCUUGCAGCUGUAGGACUGUGGCCCCGGUUCUCAUGCUGGAUGUUAGGCAGGACAGCUCUGAGCUCCUGGAGGCCACCCGCAGUUCCUUGUCACAUGGCCCCUUCUAGGUCCUCUCACACUUAAACCUCUUUCACCAGGAGAAAGAACCCAGUUCCUUUAAGGGCCCGCUGAGGAUAAUCUUCAGUUUUCAGGUCAACUCAUUUGGGAACUUAAUUGCAUUUGCAGAAUUCCCUUCACAGCAGCAUCUAGAUUCGGGUUUGACUGAAUAACCUGGGGAAGGUGUGUAUAACCUGGGGAAGGUGUGUGUACGCAGGGGCACAGGGAUCCUGGGGCCAUCUUAGAUUUCUGCCUACCUGUCUUAGUGUGUUCCGGCUGCUCUAACAAAAUCCUGCAGGCUGGGUAGCGUGUAAGCAACAGAACCAAAAACAGAACUUUGUUUCUCACAGUUCUGGAGGCUGGAAGUCGGCGAUCAGGAUGGCAGCAUGGUUGGUGAGCGCCCUCUUCUUGGGUGCAGACUUCUCGUUGAAUCUGCGUAUGGCAGAAGGGCCCAGGGAACUCUCCUGAGCCUCUUUUAUGAGGCACUAUAUUCCAUUCACGAGGGUCCUGUCUCAUGAUUUAAGCAAUUCCCAAAGGCCCCACCUACUAUUACCAUCACCUUUGGGGUUUAGGAUUGCAGCAUAGGAAUUUUGGGGGGACACAAACCUUCAGAUCAUAGCACUACCAUAAUGCUUUAUAAUAAACAUUUGAACUCAAUAUGUUCUGUUUAAAAGCAUGGUAUGUAUUAAGUAUCUGAGAGCAGCAUAAAUGACUUUCCUUUUUUUUUUUAAAUGACUUUCUUAAAAAAGAAAUGAGAGAACCAAGCCAGUGAGCCAGUAUUUUGAAUAAUAGAGAAUGCUGCCUUGCUCAGUUCAAGCCAGGGAGGAGAACACUCCACCAAUGCAAACCUACAUUCUAUUCAUCUUAAGGGUCACCAGUUUACGCUGGGCCCCGAAUUCGCUUACGAAUCAUUGCAUAGAGUCCAGCCCCUUUUGCCAACACAGGAUGCACUUGGAGAGGGCAGUGCACCUGCGGGGUCUGGUGGGUAAGAACCAUCUCCUUUUGUGGUACUCCUUAGUCACUACAGAGGAUUGAUGCUGUAUGCCCCAGAUUAGGAUCCUCUCUUAAAAACCCACUGUGCUGGUGGUAGGAUGCCCCUGCAUUUUUGAAUAUUUGAAUUUUAAAUUUAAAAUGCCAUCAUCAUUAUAGACGUCCUUCACUGUGUGGCUGGCUGCCGUCAUAAACUGGAGAGUGGGAGGCUGCCGGUAUUUGCUGCCCGUCUUCCGUGUAGAAUUGUGAUGGGGGUCAGAGCCAUG
Long non-coding RNA from Vicugna pacos (alpaca), 3876 nucleotides. RefSeq lists it as uncharacterized. Lineage: Eukaryota; Metazoa; Chordata; Mammalia; Artiodactyla; Camelidae. The record is from RefSeq and is a predicted model, not a curated record.